AAAUUGAAGAGUUUGAUCAUGGCUCAGAUUGAACGCUGGCGGCAGGCCUAACACAUGCAAGUCGAGCGGUAACACAGAGAGCUUGCUCUCGGGUGACGAGCGGCGGACGGGUGAGUAAUGUCUGGGAAACUGCCUGAUGGAGGGGGAUAACUACUGGAAACGGUAGCUAAUACCGCAUAACGUCGCAAGACCAAAGUGGGGGACCUUCGGGCCUCAUGCCAUCAGAUGUGCCCAGAUGGGAUUAGCUAGUAGGUGGGGUAAUGGCUCACCUAGGCGACGAUCCCUAGCUGGUCUGAGAGGAUGACCAGCCACACUGGAACUGAGACACGGUCCAGACUCCUACGGGAGGCAGCAGUGGGGAAUAUUGCACAAUGGGCGCAAGCCUGAUGCAGCCAUGCCGCGUGUAUGAAGAAGGCCUUCGGGUUGUAAAGUACUUUCAGCGAGGAGGAAGGCGUUAAGGUUAAUAACCUUAGCGAUUGACGUUACUCGCAGAAGAAGCACCGGCUAACUCCGUGCCAGCAGCCGCGGUAAUACGGAGGGUGCAAGCGUUAAUCGGAAUUACUGGGCGUAAAGCGCACGCAGGCGGUCUGUCAAGUCGGAUGUGAAAUCCCCGGGCUCAACCUGGGAACUGCAUUCGAAACUGGCAGGCUAGAGUCUUGUAGAGGGGGGUAGAAUUCCAGGUGUAGCGGUGAAAUGCGUAGAGAUCUGGAGGAAUACCGGUGGCGAAGGCGGCCCCCUGGACAAAGACUGACGCUCAGGUGCGAAAGCGUGGGGAGCAAACAGGAUUAGAUACCCUGGUAGUCCACGCCGUAAACGAUGUCGACUUGGAGGUUGUGCCCUUGAGGCGUGGCUUCCGGAGCUAACGCGUUAAGUCGACCGCCUGGGGAGUACGGCCGCAAGGUUAAAACUCAAAUGAAUUGACGGGGGCCCGCACAAGCGGUGGAGCAUGUGGUUUAAUUCGAUGCAACGCGAAGAACCUUACCUACUCUUGACAUCCAGAGAACUUAGCAGAGAUGCUUUGGUGCCUUCGGGAACUCUGAGACAGGUGCUGCAUGGCUGUCGUCAGCUCGUGUUGUGAAAUGUUGGGUUAAGUCCCGCAACGAGCGCAACCCUUAUCCUUUGUUGCCAGCGGUCCGGCCGGGAACUCAAAGGAGACUGCCAGUGAUAAACUGGAGGAAGGUGGGGAUGACGUCAAGUCAUCAUGGCCCUUACGAGUAGGGCUACACACGUGCUACAAUGGCAUAUACAAAGAGAAGCGACCUCGCGAGAGCAAGCGGACCUCAUAAAGUAUGUCGUAGUCCGGAUUGGAGUCUGCAACUCGACUCCAUGAAGUCGGAAUCGCUAGUAAUCGUAGAUCAGAAUGCUACGGUGAAUACGUUCCCGGGCCUUGUACACACCGCCCGUCACACCAUGGGAGUGGGUUGCAAAAGAAGUAGGUAGCUUAACCUUCGGGAGGGCGCUUACCACUUUGUGAUUCAUGACUGGGGUGAAGUCGUAACAAGGUAACCGUAGGGGAACCUGCGGUUGGAUCACCUCCUUACCUUAAAGAA
RNAcentral lists this ribosomal RNA (1550 nucleotides) under Klebsiella aerogenes. Its description in RNAcentral is "bacterial SSU rRNA". It matches the Rfam family "Bacterial small subunit ribosomal RNA". Lineage: Bacteria; Pseudomonadati; Pseudomonadota; Gammaproteobacteria; Enterobacterales; Enterobacteriaceae. The record is from RNAcentral.